GGAGCGAGAGGGAGAGAGAGUGGGAAAGAUGAACCGAGGAAGAAGAAGAACAAGAGAAAGAGUGAAACGGAUUAUUACCCUGAGAAGAAGAUAGAGACUGUGGGAGAGAGUGUGAUAUCAUUAAAGCAGUCAAACCCCUCUCUCUCUUACUGUGUUUCACUUCUGCCGAGGAAAAUUUUGCCUUAGCAAAUCACUCCACGCAUUGAAGUUUCUCACUGUUCCGUCUCUUCACUUUUCGUUUCUACUGGCAGUUUUGGGCGGUUUCGCUUUGGUCCCUGGCGUAUAGCUUCCAUGCUUUGCUCCUAGGAUCGAAGUGGUAAGAAGAGAAUGGGCAAGCACCAGAAAGAGUGCCCCAUGUUUCUUUCUGUCUCUGUUCCCCUUAUACAAUGUAUGAGGAUGCCUUUGGGUUUCCAGGAUACGUGUUUCGACUUUUGAGUCACUUCUUCCUGAGGUUUUCGGUUUGUUUUUCUUUUUUUCUUCUCUGUUGAUUUCAUCCUGUUAUUCUUUGUUGUGAGGCUCGGUGUUUGAACUCUGAAUGAGCACCUGUUAUCUAUUAUAGGAGAUGGAAGAAGAAUAGUCGCCUAACAACUACUUUGCCAACCAGCAUCUGUCAUUGGUUUCUACUUUGGAUUUUAGAUGUUUAGCCUCGAGUUUACUUUUCCUUCUACAUCUUCUUCUUCUUUUUUUUUUUUUUUGCAGGUCUCGAUUAGCAUGCACCAUCUGGUGUGUUUACUUUUCCCUUUGAUAUUUUGUUUGAUGUUCAGUGUCUGUUUUUCAUUCUUUCUUUUGAUUUCCUUUUUUGCAGGUUAGUGUGCUUUAAGUCCCUAUCAGCUUCCAUUGUCGUUGUGUGGUUUGGCUCCAUUUGAUAUGAUUAAAAUCUAAAAAUAAUUAUAGUAUAUUAUAAUAUUUAUUGAUUUCAAUAAACUUUCUCUUGGUUUGUUUGGUGUCUCUGUUGUAGCUGCAGCACUGUUGCUACACCACUGCCUUUUUCGCUCCAUUGUUGCUACACUGUUGUUGUUACCCCAUCACAACUGUCAUUGCUAUGGAUUGAUCAAGAGUAAGAAUUCCGAAGUAGAAGGGAAGUAGGAGAUGCUUUUGCUUUUGUAAUGUCCCGAGUUUCUCCUCCGUUUCCGGUGAUGAGCUAAAGCCAAUGAUUGACUUUGCUAAUUCCAUAAGCUUAUCUUACUAAUUGAAUUUCAAUUUUGCAUUCUCAUUCAAUUUUUUUUUUUUUUUGCUUAGUCUUUCAUCUUUCUGUUUCUUUUAUGGUUUCCUUUGUCAUAGGUCUGCGACAUCAUUUUGGUUUCCAGUCAGCCUUGAUGCUUUGUCAUAGUGGUGGCUAUGGACGAUAACUGAACUCGUCAAGGUGGCUCUAUUUCUUGCAUCAGGCUUAGGGUGCUUGGUGUUAGCAAUCGUCACAAUGGCUUUCACAAGCAAAUGGCGUUUGAUGGUGGUUUAUUUUUAUUGGCUUUAUUAUUUCUUUUUAGUUAUGUUUUUGGUCUCUCUCUCGAUUUUGUUUUUUGGUUUACUUUAUGGCUCACUUGUGGGGAUGCCAUUUACUGAAAGCACCAGCUGGUGCUGCCACGAUUCACCAUUCCAUAAUAUGCAUAGAGAGAGAUUAUUAAGGGUUUUUUAUUUCUCUUUUUUUAUUUGAUUAUUUUAUAAAAUGUAAAAGUUGAAACUGAAGACCAUAUUAUUUUUGCA
This is a long non-coding RNA of Nelumbo nucifera (sacred lotus), 1701 nucleotides long. RefSeq lists it as uncharacterized. The record is from RefSeq and is a predicted model, not a curated record. NCBI's taxonomy places the organism in Eukaryota, Viridiplantae, Streptophyta, Magnoliopsida, Proteales, Nelumbonaceae.